This 305-nucleotide ribosomal RNA is filed under the name uncultured bacterium. Its description in RNAcentral is "bacterial SSU rRNA". It matches the Rfam family "Bacterial small subunit ribosomal RNA", at positions 335 to 657 of the family's 1533-position model. The record is from RNAcentral.
ACGCCUACGGGGGGCAGCAGUGGGGAAUAUUGCACAAUGGGGGAAACCCUGAUGCAGCAACGCCGCGUGAGUGAAGAAGUAUUUCGGUAUGUAAAGCUCUAUCAGCAGGGAAGAAGAUGACGGUACCUGAGUAAGAAGCCCCGGCUAACUACGUGCCAGCAGCCGCGGUAAUACGUAGGGGGCAAGCGUUAUCCGGAUUUACUGGGUGUAAAGGGAGCGUAGACGGUGAGAUAAGUCUGAAGUGAAAGCCCGGGGCUUAACCCCGGGACUGCUCUGGAAACUGUAUGGCUGGAGUGCAGGAGAGG